GGGAGUGUGAAGAUGAUGAGUAGUGCUGCUCUAGGGAAGUAUGAUAUGAAGACAAAGAAGAGAGUUCCAUUGAAGUUUGUGGAAGAUGAAGAUGAUUUAUCACUGCAUGUCGCGGCGAUAAGGAAGGAGGUUAAAGGGCGGAGUAUGCAGAAAAUUGAAACCGAAGAAGACGAGAAGGAAACAAUACUUAGCUCUAAAAGUCAAGGC
Molecule: unclassified non-coding RNA, 207 nt
Filed under: Hevea brasiliensis (rubber tree)
Lineage: Eukaryota; Viridiplantae; Streptophyta; Magnoliopsida; Malpighiales; Euphorbiaceae
Source: RNAcentral